GGCGGCGCGGCCCCGCGCGGUGGCAGCUGUCAGCGCGCCCGGCGCCGGCGGGCCUGCGCCCGAGCCCGAGCCCGAGCCCGGCGUUCUGGGGGCUGGCCGGCCCCACGCAGGCCGCCCGGAGCCCCGCGCCCUCCAUCCUUGCCCGGCUCCGCACUUUGUCCCCGGGCCUCGGCGGCCGGCAGCGAACCCCGCGUCCCACUCCUUUAGGGCGGCAGGCCUUCGGGCCCGGGGGGCGCGGGGCUGCCUUCGCUGCUGCCUUUUCCUUUUUAAUUAAACCGUCAGCUGAAGUUUUUGAAAUGGGACCCGCGCGGCCUCGUGAUCCGCUUGCACCGUGUCGGCUGCGUUUUACCCGGUCUCUGCGGGGGCACCCGUGUUUCUGUUCUCCCGGCGGGGCUGGAGGCCGGUGAUGAUCUGACAGGAUCGGGAGGUGGGGGACCGAGAAUGGGUUUCCAGACUCAGAGGAAAGGGAAGAAAAAGAGUUCCCUUGGAGGAGCUGAUGACUUGCUUCCCUGGGCAUGCACGUUUGAAAUUUUGACGAUUUAGAAGAUUGGGAUUUGUUUUUGAGUAAAAUUAGGCACGACGUAUAAGUAGGAAGCAUUGUCUUUUAAAUAAGCAUCCUCUCUUCUAAUCGUUGUUUAAGAUUUCUUGCGCAAGCUGAGUGUUUUAGUUAUCAGUUGUAUGACUUUUAUUUACUUACCUUAUGGAUGCCAGAUGAGUCCUUUUUGAAGUUAAAGUGUGAAAAAGAAGAUUUCUGAGUUAAGCUUUCUUUAGUGUACGGGCAGCUUCAAGAGGGAAGGCGAAUGUAUUAGUAUUUUGAUUUAUCAGCUUUUUCCCUUUGGAAGGUCUUGACUUCUUAGUAAUUUCUGCUUGUUUGCUUCUGCGAAGGAAGUGCCCAUGUGAGCGAUGUCAUUUCAUUUCAUUUCUCUUUGAUUCCCCCCUUCAACGUAAUACUUUAUAAGGUAACCUCAUUCAUGUUUGAGUGCAGUUUGUGAAUAUUGGGUGUUUACGUACAGAGAGACCUGGAAAGUAAGUCCAUGCUGUAGGAAUGCUCUUGAAGAAAUAGAACUGUAGCAUCUCAGAGCUGAAAUGGACCUUGGAGGUGGUUGGGUUCUCCUGCCUGCUUUGCCAGGUGGGCCCAGGAAGUUGAGGUUGACUUGUUAAAGGUCACACACUGUAAGUGACUGGAGCUCGGAGUAGAAUCUAGUGCUCUUCCUAUCUCAUCCCUGUAAGUAAAUCCAAAAGGAAUUUGAAUGAUGUUAGUGCAUUUUUCGUAUCAGUUUGUGGUCUAAGGUGCAUUUAAGGGAGGAGUGCGGGUGGUAAUCUGGUUCUUUUUCUUGUCUUGUUAGGACUUUUGGAUUGCUUUGGAGAAGUACUCCAGCUCUACUAAAAACAUACAGCAUUAUUCUAAAGGUGCCCUACUUUUAAAAAUUUUUUAUAACAUUCGAAAACAUUUGUGGAGUAAAAAAUUACUUGUGGGAAGCUGCCAUAUCCUUUUCAGAUGUCAUCUUUUGAGCAGGUGAUGGUUACUCACAUACUAAUAUCAUCGGACGUUCAUUUUUCAGGUCUGGUUCUAGUGGAGUGUGGGAAACAUGCGAUAGAGAAGAGACAAGUUCUGAGUCUGUCGUAGGCCUGGAGCCAUGUAAAAAAUGGCCAUAGAUAGCUAGUUUAGAACUGGCAGCACAGGCGUAUUCAUAUCAUUUACCAAAAUCAUUGAAAUACAACGAACUAUAUGAGCAGUUUCUCUUGAUGACGGUUGAAAACUGAAACCUGAAGCUUUUUAAGUGGCUAUCAAGUACUUUAUUGAAAGAAACAAUCCUUACAAGGCUAAAGAGAACAAAGCAGCAGCAUAUUGUGGUAAGGAGGUAGCUCUUGAACUCAUGAAAAAGUAGAUUCGUAUUGAGAUAGUCUAGGAUUUGAAAAUAUCUUAUCAUUUAUAGCUUUCACAACCUUUGGAGAAUUACUUUGACAUUUUGUCUGCAAUAUAUGUGCAGCGGUCUCUGGAACACUGAAACCUCAAUUGGCAUUUGCUCUGAGUGGUUAUUUGAGAGUGAGCGAAUUAUUUUGGUAACCUAAAAUCUGAAAUAGGAUUUAGAGGCAGCUGACUCAAUAUGCUUCUAGUGGACUGUUUUUACUCCUUUCAUUUUCAUUUUUUCUCUCGCUUUCUUUUAACAUAAGUCAAAGUAGUAACCAGAACAUAGUUACAUAAACUUAAAAAUACCCAAUGUUGGGGAUUCUUGCAGGAAUUUCAGUUUCAGACUUGAAAUUAAUCUAAUUUAGAUGACUAGUCAAACAUUUUGUGUUAUUGUCAGAGGACGUACAUUCCUAGAUGUAAACCUUAGGUUUAUAGUGCUGUCCAAUAGAAAUAUAAUGUGAACCACAUAUAAUUAAAAGUUUUCUAGAGGCCACAUUUGGGGGAAAAAAAGAAAACAGGUGAAAAAAGCGAAGGACACAUUUUUUCUUAUUCCAAGAUCCAGGCUGAAGGAGCAGUCCCUGUCUGCAGCGUGCUUUUCUAGUGAAAGUAAGAGCUGGAGGAAACCAGGAUUGCUUUUUCAGCUUCUUCUGGGAGGUGGCAUCUGUCACAUCUGCUCACAUCUAUUGGUCACAGCAAGUCAUGUGGCCAAGCUCAACAUCACUGGGAGGGGAUGUAUGUUCCUCUUCACAGGAAGCAUUGCAGGCCCCAUGGCAGUGGGUAGAGAUGUAGAAUUCUUUUAAGGAAGGGAGGUGAGUAUUUGGAAAGAAUAAUACAGUCUGCCAUAUUUCAGGGGUCAGGGAAUGUUUCCUGGGGGAAGUUACUUUUAAGUUGAGAUCUAAAGGAUGAUUAGAAUUUAGUUAGAUGAAGGAUAGGGGACUUGGUUUUUUGAAGAGUUUGUGAAUGUGAAAGUUCUUGAUUUUGAAAAAUUGGAACAAGUUUCAUAUGGCUGGAGUGAAGAAGUGGGAAGGGAGAUGGAAUUGCCUAGUCGUGAGAGAUACAGAAAAGGGCUGCAUCACACAGGUCCUUGUGAGAUGGGCUGAAGAGUGUGGACUUUGCCUUAAAUUUAGCAGAGGCUGUUGAAAAAUUUGAACAGGAAAGAAGCAGUCUUUUAGGUCAGAAAGAUCACUGUGGCUGCAGUGUUCAGAAUGGAUCUGCAGCCUUGAGACUAGCAGCAACAUAAUCUAGGUGAUAGAUAAUGGUAGUCUGAAUAAAUUUACCAGCCCUUGGGGUGGAUUUCAGAAAUAAAUUAGGUAGAUUUGACAGGAUUUGGUGUUUGAUUGGGGGAGGAGUCAUGGAUAAUAUUUUGGUUGUCACUUGGUUAGUGGUGUCAUUCUCUGAUUUAGAGAAUCCUGGAAGAAGAACAAGAGUUUAUUUCUCUUUGUUUGACUGAGAAUGGGGGGCAUGGGAAGCGAAGUAUUUAGUUUCAAUGUUUUUUUUUUUCUUUUUUUUGAGGAAGAUUAGCCCCUGAGCUAACUGCUGCCAAUCCUCCUUUUUUUGCCAAGGAAAACUAGCCCUGAGCUAACAUUGUGCCCACCUUCCUCUACUUUAUAUGUGGGAUGCCUACCACAGCAUGGCUUUUGCCUAGCGGUGCCUUGUCCGCACCUGGGAUCUGAACCGGCCAACCCUGGACCGCCGAAGCAGAACGUGCACACUUAACUGCUGCGCCACUGGGCUGGCCCCUAGUUUCGAUGUUCUUAUAUUGAGUUGCUGUGCAUAUUCAAAUAGAAAUGUCUGUAUUACUAGUGGAUAUAUGGGCCUGGAGUUCAGAGAGAGACUGAGCUGGUGAUAGAAAUUGUUAGCAUAUAGGUAGUAGUUGAAGUGGGAAUGGAUGAGGUCACCCAGAAUGAGAAUGCUAUGGUGAUAGCAGUGAUUUUACUUACUUAUUUUAUUUUAUUUUUUCUGAGGAAGCUUCGCCCUGAGCUAACAUCCGUGCCAGUCUUCCUCUGUGUUUUAGUAUGUGGGCCGCCAGCACAGCAUGGGGCUAACAGAGCGGUGUAGGUCUGCCUCCAGGAUCCCGACCCAGGCCGUCUAAGCCGAAUUUGCUGAACUUAACCAAUAGGCCACCGUGGCUGGCCCUGAUGGCGGUGGUUUUCAAAGAAAGGUGGGAAAGAUAUGUUUCAGGGGAAAAGGGACUUUCAUUGUUUGAAAAACUAUGAUCAAUUUAAAUAUAUUUUGUUUGAAAAAAGUUUCCCCUUUUUCUCUUCUUAAAAUAAUACAAAUCACAGGAAAUAAAGCUCAACAAAAUCUUGACUGGUGAAGUGAUUUUCAGUACUCUGGGAGCCAGAGGAUUGCUUCCCUGUGAACAUAUUUGUAUUUCAGGAGGCCUGAGGGCAAAUGAGAUUUUUAGGUACUCAAAAGAAGAAAUGGGUUUAAAAACAAACAAAAUUGAGGAAAAAGGAUGCUAGGGUGAGUAGCACAAAGGACUAGAGAAGACAGGAAUUACCAAUGAUGCCAAUUAAAAUGUUCUAAAAUCUUAUGACUGAGUGAGAAAUGAGAAUCCGAGGCUGGAUUUAGGAUCUGUUAUUGGAGUGGAAGGACUGAAUUGAGGAAAACAUAGAUGGUUGCAGUUAGGGACUGAAGAGAUGAAGAUGACUCUGAUUUCUGACUUGGGCACUAGGGCCAUUCAGUGAGGUUGGAAAUAUCUGUUAAGGAGCAAGUUUGGGAGGGGGGAGGGAUAAUAAGAGUAGAGUUUAUAAAAAGUUGGAUGUGAGGUAUCACUGAGGCAUCCAGGUGCUACCUGUCUUGUAUGUUGUUGGCUAUAUGGGUCUAGGUAUGAGGGGAAUAGACUGGGCAUCUUAUUCCUAUUUUUUAAAAUAACAGCUAAUAGUAAGAACUUAAUGUUCUCUCUUUAGGACAUCUUUGCUAAUCUCACAUUCUCUCUGAUUACACAGUGAAUUUCUUCAGUGUAGCUAAAUAAUGUAUUACAAUGUUAUCAAGCUUUUGAAUGUUUUAAUAAAUCCAUGUACUGAUUC
Molecule: non-coding RNA, 4944 nt
Organism: Equus caballus (horse)
Lineage: Eukaryota; Metazoa; Chordata; Mammalia; Perissodactyla; Equidae
Source: RefSeq, a predicted model, not a curated record